Molecule: long non-coding RNA, 502 nt
Organism: Hemicordylus capensis (graceful crag lizard)
Lineage: Eukaryota; Metazoa; Chordata; Lepidosauria; Squamata; Cordylidae
Exons: 4
Source: RefSeq, a predicted model, not a curated record
CUAUUACCUUACACACAUAAAACCUUGCCUUGACUAGCAGGACUUUAAGGAUGAGAAACCAGCAAUUUUUAGAUGAUCAUGAUUCCAGUUUUUAAGAGUGCCUGCCAAUGCUGUUCUUCUCAUCAAGAAGCCCUUGAUUAGCUUCUCAGAAACCUGGAGCACAGUUUGAAAACCAGUAUUCUGCUUCAUAACUGUUUGAUAAAGAACUGUCAAUAAACAUGCAUAGCCUGAUCAGUUUUAUCCUAAGGACCAUGGAAUUUAGCUAAUCUUGAAUUACACUAAUCAAGCAGAAGAACCUGAAACAAGGUCCAACAGAAGCUGAAGAAGAAAGAAAGCACACAUUAUAUUUGUAACAGUUGGGAUGAUUCAUAUAGUAACAUUAUAUUUACUGGAAUUAUUGAGAAAAUCUUCAGAUUCUAUACUCAAAACAUUUUCAAAUGGUAUACAUCAAUUGGAAUGUCAUUUCAUUAUUGUGCAAAAUAAAUUCCUGUUCUUCAUUUAA